CGGAGGAUCCAAGCGUUAUCCGGAUUUAUUGGGUUUAAAGGGUGCGUAGGCGGAAUUGUAAGUCAGUGGUGAAAGCCUGCAGCUUAACUGCAGAACUGCCAUUGAUACUGCAAAUCUUGAGUACAUUUGAAGUGGGCGGAAUGUGUCAUGUAGCGGUGAAAUGCAUAGAUAUGACACAGAACACCGAUUGCGAAGGCAGCUCACUAAACUGUAACUGACGCUGAGGCACGAAAGCGUGGGGAUCGAACAGGAUU
Molecule: ribosomal RNA, 254 nt
Filed under: uncultured bacterium
Lineage: Bacteria
Description: partial 16S ribosomal RNA
Rfam family: Bacterial small subunit ribosomal RNA
Source: RNAcentral